AUCUAUGAUCAUACCACCUAAAUGUGACUGAUUGUAGAAGAUAAGCAGUGUCAGGCCUAGUUGGUACUCAGAUGGGAGACCACAGUAGGAAUAUUGGGUGCUGUGGGCU
This 109-nucleotide ribosomal RNA is filed under the name Mus pahari (shrew mouse). Its description in RNAcentral is "rRNA (MGP_PahariEiJ_G0032650.1)". The record is from RNAcentral. Lineage: Eukaryota; Metazoa; Chordata; Mammalia; Rodentia; Muridae.